Molecule: ribosomal RNA, 894 nt
Filed under: Cryphonectria parasitica (chestnut blight fungus)
Lineage: Eukaryota; Fungi; Ascomycota; Sordariomycetes; Diaporthales; Cryphonectriaceae
Description: LSU rRNA
Rfam family: Eukaryotic large subunit ribosomal RNA
Source: RNAcentral
GCAUAUCAAUAAGCGGAGGAAAAGAAACCAACAGGGAUUGCCCUAGUAACGGCGAGUGAAGCGGCAACAGCUCAAAUUUGAAAUCUGGCUUCGGCCCGAGUUGUAAUUUGCAGAGGAUGUUUYUGGCGCGGUGCCUUCCGAGUUCCCUGGAACGGGACGCCACAGAGGGUGAGAGCCCCGUAUGGUUGGACACCAAGCCUGUGUGAAACUCCUUCGACGAGUCGAGUAGUUUGGGAAUGCUGCUCAAAAUGGGAGGUAAAUCUCUUCUAAAGCUAAAUACCGGCCAGAGACCGAUAGCGCACAAGUAGAGUGAUCGAAAGAUGAAAAGCACCUUGAAAAGGGGGUUAAACAGUACGUGAAAUUGUUGAAAGGGAAGCGCUUGUGACCAGACUUGCGCCGGGCGGUUCAUCCGGGGUUCUCCCCGGUGCACUCCGCCCGGCUCAGGCCAGCAUCGGUUUUCGUUGGGGGAUAAGAACGGCAGGAACGUGGCCCUCCUUCGGGUGGGUGUUAUAGCCUGCCGUACGAUACCCUGACGGGGACCGAGGUUCGCGCUCCGCAAGGAUGCUGGCGUAAUGGUCAUCAGCGACCCGUCUUGAAACACGGACCAAGGAGUCGUCCAUUAGAGCGAGCGUUUGGGUGUCAAACCCGCACGCGUAAUGAAAGUGAAAUUAGGUGAGAGCUUCGGCGCAUCAUCGACCGAUCCUGAUGUUCUCGGAUGGAUUUGAGUAAGAGUUUUAACGGACGGACCCGAAAGACAGUGAACUAUGCUUGUAUAGGGUGAAGCCAGAGGAAACUCUGGUGGAGGCUCGCAGCGGUUCUGACGUGCAAAUCGAUCGUCAAAUAUGAGCAUGGGGGCGAAAGACUAAUCGAACUGUCUAGUAGCUGGUUACCGCC